AAUGAACGCUGGCGGUAGGCCUAACACAUGCAAGUCGGGCGGACGAAGGGAGCUUGCUCCUGGUUUCAGCGGGGGACGGGUGAGUAAUGCCCGGGAAACUGCCUGGUAGUGUGGGAUAACACUCGUAAACGGACGCUAAUACAGCAUAUGUUCUGUGCGGGAAAGAGAGGGAUCUUCGGACCUCACGCUAUCAGAAGAGCCUAGGUCGGAUGAGCUAGUUGGUGGGGAAGACGCCUACCAAGGCGACGAUCCGUAACUGGUCUGAGAGGAUGAUCAGGCACACUGGAAGUGAGACACGGUCCAGACUCCUGCGGUAGGCAGCAGUGGGGAAUAUUGGGCGAUGGGCGAAAGCCUGAUCCUGCCAUGCCGCGUGUAUGAAGAAGGUCUUCGGAUUGUAAAGCACUUUAAGUUGUGAGGAAGUACAGUAAGUUUAUAACUUGCUGUUUUGACGUUACCAACAGAAAAAGCACCGGCUAACUUCGUG
This 484-nucleotide ribosomal RNA is filed under the name uncultured bacterium. RNAcentral's name for it is "partial 16S ribosomal RNA". It matches the Rfam family "Bacterial small subunit ribosomal RNA", at positions 29 to 507 of the family's 1533-position model. The record is from RNAcentral.